Molecule: long non-coding RNA, 235 nt
Filed under: Elaeis guineensis (African oil palm)
Lineage: Eukaryota; Viridiplantae; Streptophyta; Magnoliopsida; Arecales; Arecaceae
Description: long non-coding RNA (EGUI_LNC075481)
Source: RNAcentral
AGUGAGAUAUACAAUGAUCUCUAUCAAAAUAUCAUUGAAACUCCUUUUAAUGGAUCGAAAUAAUUCCACUCUAACUCAUCAAGAAUUAUCGAUCCAGAACAAUCCUAGUGAGCUCUCACAAUCCACCAGUGACACCUAGCAGUAUGUAGUGGCAAUCCAAUAGAAUUAAAAAUGAACCUCAAGGUGUAGUUAACGUGUGAUUCAGUCCUUCUAUCAUGAGUCCCGACUAGAUGGC